Camellia sinensis is the source of this 2922-nucleotide non-coding RNA. NCBI's taxonomy places the organism in Eukaryota, Viridiplantae, Streptophyta, Magnoliopsida, Ericales, Theaceae. The record is from RefSeq and is a predicted model, not a curated record.
AUUUCGCCAAAAAAAUAAGUAUAUACACGCUACUCUCUCUCAGUGUCCUCUGCCUUUCAUCUACCCCUUCUCUUUCGUCUCUCUCCUCUUGCAACCACCGCCAUCGGGACGCCGCCGACCACCGACCAUCUCUCCUCUUGCCGUCAUUCUCUCUCGACGAACUACCGACCACCUUACCUCUUCUCUCACCUCCUCUUUAUUUAUUUAUUUAUAAUAAUCGUGUAUUUGUAUAGCUGUGUAAAAGCCCUAGGUCAUGUCUCCGUCUUCUUCAAUUCAACCUUGGGUUUGAUUUUGAUUCGAUUAGUGUUUUAAUCUUUCAGAUUAGACAGAGAACAGACACACAAAGAGAGAGAGAUAGAGAGAGAGAAUGGACGAUAGUUGUGCGUUGUGCACCCUCCAUCGUCACCACCGUCGUCCUCAAUCUCCCUCCCCCGCCACCUCUAUCGCGUUUCGUCUUCCUCUUCAUCUCAUCCAGGGUGCGAAGGCCACUGUCACGCAGAUAUCUGCAACACGAAGCGAUCUCAACCAUGGCGGCUUCAGAUCCAGGCUCCACAGAAACUAACCAUCGGUGAAGAUCUCACCAGACGAGAGGCUUGUGCUCAAGGUUACUCUGAUAACACCGAAAAGGCCAUUACCUGAACCAUCAUUGUUACUCUCAUCGAAAAGGUAAUAUCCAACAUGAGGGUGCUGAUGACUGAAGAUUCAAACAAUGCUGUCGGCAGUUCUUUUUUGCUGGAUGACGAUUCAAGUUGAUGACAUCUCAAAAUCAAUGGAGCAGAUUGACAUUUCGGACGUAGAACCACCACCGCUUAUUCGUGAAAAUUCAGGAUUCAGUUUCUUGUUACCGCGUGCCGACUGAUCACCUUUUCAUAGUUGUCUGUCUUGUCGCUUGGAGGAUUAGUCCAAGGUAACUUUCUUACGCUUAUUCAGCUAGGUGGGGCAUUGUUUACAAAGCCAAAAUCAUCGAAGGGAUGAACUAACGAAGAGGAAAGAAAGGGAAGUUUUCUAUCCAAAUAAGAAAACAACAAAACCACUCAAAAUUCACCUGGAAGUGGUUUUUGGGCAGAAUUAGGGGGUGUUUAGUUGUGUAGAUAACUAGUUACUUAAAGAAAAUGUAUCCUCUUAACUGUUGGUGAUUUGAAUUGAAUUCCCACCUGAUAAUUGUUAGGUUUCAACAUUAAAAGAAGAAGAAGAAGAAGAUGAGGAAGAAAAAUUGUUAGAGGUCUCUACCAUUCAUAUUUUUAGUGUAAAACAUGCUUUAUGAGAAUGUGACAGUGAGUAACAACCCACAUUUUGUCUUUCUAUGAUUGCGCCUUUUGUAACUAAGUGACAUGGCAGAAUCGGAGGGGAUGAAGUAAGGCCUUAUUUUUAUUUUUAUUUUUUUUUGUUAAUUGCCUUAAUUGCAUAAUUCUCUGUUAAUCCUAGGUGGGUUUUGUGUUUUGAGAGAGGUAAUGACUACAACAUUUGCACCACACUAUGAUGUUGUAUAAAGCAUAAAGUGCAAAUAGUAAAUCAAAGCAAUUCUUUUCGGCAAAGUCAAAUUAAAUUCAGGUACAUCAUUAUAUGUUCUUUUCCUUUCAUAUUAAGUAGACUUGUACCAGUUUUGAUAGUUUUAAUUUGUGUUGUCAGCAGAAAUCCAUAUUCUUUUCAUACGUUUGUGAGGUGCUGAGAUAAUGUUAUGAUGAAGUUGUAGUGUACUUUUGUCUCUCAUCAAUUGAAUUCUAAUCCAUAUGACCACACCAUGCUUUUUUUUUUUUUUGGACAUAAAGAACUACACUUCCAUAUUUUUAGUCAAAAUAGACUGAUAGUUUGUACAAAGAUUUGUACUCGCUCCCCCAUUGAGUACAUUAUUGUGUACAAGGACAAGUUCCAUUAGAAGUUGACUUUUAAUUUUGACUACGUAUUUAACUAGUAUUUCUGGGCAAGGUCAUGUGGUAAUCCCAACUUGUUAUUGCUUGAAACAUGAAGCCUUGGUAUUUUUAUGUUGAGUUUUGAGAGAUAACCAACUUGUUAUUGAUUGAAACAUGAAGCCUUGGUACUUUUAUGUUGAAUUUUGAGAGAUAAGAGGACAAAUAACAGAGUAUAUGGAGUAUAUUCAAAUCUACCAAAUAAAUUCCUAAUACAAAAUAGGAAACUGCUCCCUAAAAAUAAGAAAUUAAAUAUUGAUAAGAUAGUAAUUAAGCUAUAAUUAAAAAUAAAAUAAGUAAAUUUUUGGAUUCUUGGACAAGGAUGUAGGUAGGUACAUGUACAGGAAUGAAUUCUUGGAACGUCCUUUGAUAUGGGCAACAGUUACUAUGUACUUACCCCAAGUUGUGAUCAGCUAGUGACUUGAAUUCAUUUUUAUCUUUGCAGGAUUUCAUAAUGAUGGAUCCCUCGUUAUUGUACGCCAGUUCCAGGAAUUUUUCUGAUCAAUAUGGAGACAUGAGGCUAGACAUCGACGACAUGAGUUAUGAGGAACUUCUUGCUCUAGAAGAAAGGAUAGGGAAUGUCAACACUGUCUUGUCUGAAGAUAUGAUUUCAAAGUGUUUGACAAAAACAAAGAUCUAUUCAGAUCGAAACCAUGAAGAAAAAACCUGUUGCAUCUGUCUUACAAGAAAUGCAACAGGGUUAGUUGCUCCAGCUAUUGCAACGGGUUUAGGUGUCUUAACACAUACAUCGGGCACUCUCGUCCCUGUGAUAGGAGCAAGUGGAUUUGCUAUAGCUGCAGCUGCAACUACUAUAGGAACUGUUGUCGAUAGUUUUAGAUAAUCUCUUAAUAGUUGUCGAUAUGUUUAGAAAGUUAGAUAUGCAUAGUUUUGGAUGGUUUAAACUUUUUGUACAGUUUAGAACUUAAGGAGAUCGUUUUCGAAUGUUUGGAAUAUAUAGACAAUUGUUGAAUGCUUAUAAUUUAUGGAUAUAGUUUCUUUUCGAUGUUUCAAACAA